UACGUAGGGUGCAAGCGUUGUCCGGAAUUAUUGGGCGUAAAGAGCUCGUAGGCGGUUUGUCGCGUCUGCUGUGAAAACUCGGGGCUUAACCCUGGGCCUGCAGUGGGUACGGGCAGACUAGAGUGCGGUAGGGGAGACUGGAAUUCCUGGUGUAGCGGUGAAAUGCGUAGAUAUCAGGAGGAACACCUGCGGUGUAGACGGCUUACUGGACGGUAACUGACGCUGAGGCACGAAAGCGUGGGUAGCAAACAGG
Molecule: ribosomal RNA, 253 nt
Filed under: uncultured bacterium
Lineage: Bacteria
Description: partial 16S ribosomal RNA
Rfam family: Bacterial small subunit ribosomal RNA
Source: RNAcentral